RNAcentral lists this long non-coding RNA (1288 nucleotides) under Heterocephalus glaber (naked mole-rat). RNAcentral's name for it is "lncRNA (ENSHGLG00000046461.1)". The record is from RNAcentral. Lineage: Eukaryota; Metazoa; Chordata; Mammalia; Rodentia; Bathyergidae.
CUUUUUUCGGUUUUUAUCAAGACCUAGAGUCUGUAACCAACAGGAACUAUCUCUGGAUAACUUAAACAGAAAUAGAAUUUAUCCAAAUAAUAUUGAAGAAUUUACAGAACUGACAAAAGUGUUUGGGAACCAAAGUCAAGAAACAACAGAAAAUAAACCAAAAAUAUACAGAAAAAUCAUAGAAAUAGUUUUGAAGAACACUGGUUAAACUUAAAGGCUGUUGACUAUGCAUCAUAAAUACUUGUGAAUGGUUUAACUUUCUUCUGAGCUUCAUGUCAAACUCUCAAGCUGUAAGCCUGACGCUGGAAGAUCUGAUUUACUAGGCCUAGAUCACAAAGCCCCACUACAGGUACUACAGAACUGAAAAAGAGACUGUCUGCCCCACUCUGGUUUUCAGUGUAGAAACAAAGGCCCUGCUGGUAAACUUUCUUGGAACCACAAAGGAAUAAGAAGAACAUUUGAAUAUUGACAACUAAAACAAAUGCUCACUGUAAUCCACUCUCUCAAUUGUUCAGCAUUGACACUAUUCUUCUUUUCAUAUUAGAGUUCAGAAAAGAAUCCCAUACUGUAGCAGAAGGCAACUGUGUCUCAUGUAUACUUAUACUCUUCUUCAAGGCUUAUCAACGGAGCAGUUCACAACAUGAUAUUUGCCUUCUAUCAGAAGCACAUGGGAAUGCAAAAGAGAGAGACUUCUGGAUCACCUACAGCAACCCCAAAGGGAAACAAGAUGGAACAAUCUGAUACUCAACCACCUGGACUCUGAACUGGCAACAAAAGAGGAUCUGGGAAAAAUGAAAUCAGAAAUAAUUACUCAGAUAACAGCAAAGAUUUUUCUCAUGGUGCAAGACAUGAUUAAUAAAUCUAGAGAGGACACAGAUUAAAAAAAUAGAGGAUCUGAGGAACAUGAUGGAAUCCCAACAUAGGAAACAAAUGGAAUCCAUAAAACAGAUGCAAACAGAUUUCCAGGAGAUUAAAAACUCCAUCGAAAGUCUGCACAGCAGAAUGAACCAAUGUGAGGAUAGAAUUUCAGAUAUAGAAGAAAAGAUUGCAAUUAGUGGCCAGGAAAAGAAAAAUUGCUUUAAAAUUGUAAAGUAAUACAAGAAAUCAAUCCAGCAGCUGCUAGAUGAUGCAAAGAAGAAUAACAUAAGACUGAUUGGUGUCAAUGAAGAAAGAGGAGAGAGUGCAGAUGACAUACUGCAUUAAAUCUUAAAACUGAGGAAUUUAAAAAGACAUUUAUUAAAAAUAAUCUGUUAAAUGUGAACAUACAAGUAGACAUCUGUGAAAAGAG